CACGCACGCUGGCGGCAUGCCUAACACAUGCAAGUCGAACGAGACCUUCGGGUCUAGUGGCGCACGGGUGCGUAACGCGUGGGAACCUGCCCUUAGGUUCGGAAUAACUCCCCGAAAGGGGUGCUAAUACCGGAUAAUGUCUUCGGACCAAAGAUUUAUCGCCUUUGGAUGGGCCCGCGUUGGAUUAGCUAGUUGGUAGGGUAAAAGCCUACCAAGGCGACGAUCCAUAGCUGGUCUGAGAGGAUGAUCAGCCACACUGGGACUGAGACACGGCCCAGACUCCUACGGGAGGCAGCAGUGGGGAAUAUUGGACAAUGGGCGAAAGCCUGAUCCAGCAAUGCCGCGUGAGUGAUGAAGGCCUUAGGGUUGUAAAGCUCUUUUACCCGGGAUGAUAAUGACAGUACCGGGAGAAUAAGCCCCGGCUAACUCCGUG
This 433-nucleotide ribosomal RNA is filed under the name uncultured bacterium. RNAcentral describes it as "partial 16S ribosomal RNA". It matches the Rfam family "Bacterial small subunit ribosomal RNA", at positions 29 to 507 of the family's 1533-position model. The record is from RNAcentral.